Molecule: non-coding RNA, 556 nt
Organism: Arachis ipaensis
Lineage: Eukaryota; Viridiplantae; Streptophyta; Magnoliopsida; Fabales; Fabaceae
Source: RefSeq, a predicted model, not a curated record
CAAAUUAUGCUUUCAGAAGCCAUUGCAAUAGUUAUGGCACCAAGAGACAGUUCAAGGUGAAGACAGUGGCUCGGAUUGUGAAAAGUGAUGCAGGGAAAGUAAUUUGCAGGGAAGCAGAGAGGAUCAAACCUGCGGCUGUAGUUCUAGGAUCAAGAGGCAGAAGCUUAAUUCAAAGCGUGCUACAGGAAAGUGUUGGAGAGUACUGCUUCCACCACUGCAAAGCAGCACCUGUUGUCAUCGUUCCUGAAAAAGAUGCUGGAGAUGCAUCAAUAUUGUAGUAAAGCUUUGUACGUAUGUCAAUUGGCCUUGUUAAUAUAUCUAACAGUCAUGUUUAGUGAAAUGAAGAUUAGUUCCGACUCAUUUUCACCAAGAAUAGAGAUGUUUUCCUUGCAUAUGUUCACAUGUUAACUACUAGCAUGUUAUUAAUUCAAUGGCUUAGUAACUCAUUUUCUCAUUGUGUUGUUUAGACUUUCUUUGAUGUUACAAAGUAUUUGGACAACUUUAUUUUUGGAAUAAGUUUAUUUGAGUUGCUGUUAGAUUCUACUAGUAUAAAUAU